Leucoraja erinaceus (little skate) is the source of this 2192-nucleotide long non-coding RNA. RefSeq lists it as uncharacterized. Lineage: Eukaryota; Metazoa; Chordata; Chondrichthyes; Rajiformes; Rajidae. The record is from RefSeq and is a predicted model, not a curated record. The transcript is spliced from 3 exons.
CACCGCCAUUCAAUAUGAUCAUGGCUGAUCAUCCAACUCAGUAUCCCGUACCUGCCUUCUCUCCAUACCCCAUGAUCCCUUUAGCCACAAGGGCCACAUCUAACUCCCUCUUAAAUAUAGCCAAUGAACUGGCCUCAACUACCCUCUGUGGCAGAGAGUUACAGAGAUUCACCACUCUCUGUGUGAAAAAUGUUUUUCUCAAUGUUUCGGGUCAAGACCCUUCUUUUCAGACUGAAGAAGAGCCUCGACAUCAAACAUCACCCAUUGCUUCUCUCCAGAGUUGCUGCCCGUCCCGCUGAGUUAUUCCUGCUUUGUGUCCAUCUUCAAAUGACUUCACAUGCUCCAGACGGCUGUGCGUACGCAUGAAAUCGUGCGCGACCUUCGCGGGACCGUCUCGUCUCAACGCGACCACGAGGUCGCAUAAUUUGCGUGCCAAGGACACGUUAGUGGGACAGACCAUUAAGGCGACAGUAAAUGGAAACAGAAGAAGAGAAUAUUGCUUUAGGGACAACAGUUCAGACGGAAAAUGGGGGGAGAGAGAAUGGAACUUGCGGGCAGAGAUAGAACGAGGCAUCAGAAAGAGAAAGAAAGUGAGACCAGGAAGUCAGAGGGAAAGGAAAUGAAGAGCAUUUGUGUGUCUGAAACAUUGAGACUGGUAGAGAGGGAAAUAUAUAAGGGUCAGAGAGCAUGGAGCAUGAAAUAUAUACGGGUCAGAGAGCACGAGUGAAGGAAUAAAAAUCAACUAUCGUUGAUUAGUAAGAGUGUCAGGGGUUAUUGGGAGAAGGCAGGAGAGAUAGAUCAGCCAUGAUUGAAUGGCGGAGUAGACGGUGGGCCGAAUGGCCUAAUUUCGCUCCUAUUAGUUAGGACCUUAAAAAUAAAAAGUGAGGGAGACCAGAAAGAAUUGAUCACGAUCAUAAGGAAAAGGACCUUUGGCCCACUGAAUCUUUGCUGGCCGUCAAAUAGCCAUCUUCACUAAUCCCUUUUCCAGUCCUUGGUCAUGGCAUGGUGAUUCAAAUUCUGGUUCAGAUACCUAUUAAAUAUUGUGGGAGUACCACUAACUCAUUGGGAAAUGUGCUUCAGAUUCCCGCAACACCAAGGAACAAAUUGUUGACUUCAGGAAGGGGAAGUCAGGAAACAACGGGCCAGAUUAGUCGGUGGUGGAAAAUUAGUAGCUUCAAAUUCCUGGGGCAUUAACAUUUAGGAUGACCCGUCCUGGACCCAACACACAAAUGUAAACACGAAGAAGGUACACCAGUACUUUUUUUAGAUUCAGUCUAUCUCUGAAUACUCUAACAGACCCCUACAGAUGUACUAUAGAAAGUAUCAUAUCAGCCCUGGUUUCGCAAUUCCAAUGUAUAGGAAUCCAAGAGGCUGCAGAGAAUGGUGCACUCAGCCCAGUCUAUCACAGCACCCUUUCCUCAAUUGAAAACAUCUACAUGAGCCACUGUCUCAAAUAGGCAGCAUCUAUUAUCAGACGUUAUCAGGAGUUGCAGUAGCCUGAAGUCCCAUAAUAUCAGGAACAUCUACUUGAUGGUAUAGCUGAUGGAGCAUAUUCAUUCUUUGAGAAAGUGGGAUAUCAUAGAACUAGUGUAAAUGGGUAAUCAAUGCUCAGCAUGGGCUCAGUGAGCCACGGGGCCCGUUUCCUUGCUGUGUUUUUAAACAAAACUUUCAUUGAAACACAGGUAAAGAUCAACCUUUGCAGUUCAAUGGACUGUCAGAGCUCUCUAAUCAAGAGUCUGCUUGUUGCUGCAUCAGAGCAGAUUAUUGCUCUUUGAAAAGUAAACACCAAAUAUAUCUGAAAGUGUACAGGGACGUGCAAUCUUCAAGAACCAUUCUUUUGGUGAUGAACACCAUAGUGAACUGUUUUAUGUUAUUAAGUGAAAUGCAGUAACACUGAGCAGUCACGUUGAAGAAAGAGCACAUCAUCUCAUACUCUGGAGACAGCAGUGCUUCACCCCAGAGGAAAACAAAUGGUGCAUAGAAUUUUAAGAUGUAUCAAUUUAUCAAAAACAAUUGGUAAUGCAGCCCACAAGAAAAAAACAAAAUAACUUACAUCAGGCUAUAUCAAAGGAGACCUUCCAAAACACCAGUGGAUGCUUUCAACAAGGCAGUAAAACAAUAGACAAAGAAAGGAAAUAAAAUCCAGUAUUCCAAUGUGCAUCUAUUCCUUGGUUUCAUUGUAAAAUAUUUGG